This 253-nucleotide ribosomal RNA is filed under the name uncultured bacterium. Its description in RNAcentral is "partial 16S ribosomal RNA". It matches the Rfam family "Bacterial small subunit ribosomal RNA", at positions 524 to 776 of the family's 1533-position model. The record is from RNAcentral.
UACGAAGGGGGCUAGCGUUGUUCGGAAUUACUGGGCGUAAAGGGCGCGUAGGCGGCCUCGUCCGUCCGGCGUGAAAUGCCUGGGCUUAACCUAGGAAUUGCGCUCGAUACAGCGAGGCUUGAGUGUGGAAGAGGGUCGUGGAAUUCCCAGUGUAGAGGUGAAAUUCGUAGAUAUUGGGAAGAACACCGGUGGCGAAGGCGGCGACCUGGUCCAUUACUGACGCUGAGGCGCGAAAGCGUGGGGAGCAAACAGG